This is a long non-coding RNA of Mesocricetus auratus (golden hamster), 395 nucleotides long. RefSeq lists it as uncharacterized. The record is from RefSeq and is a predicted model, not a curated record. The transcript has 3 exons. NCBI's taxonomy places the organism in Eukaryota, Metazoa, Chordata, Mammalia, Rodentia, Cricetidae.
AGAAGAUUUUUUUCCUUGUGGUCUUCGGAAGGGGGACACAACCAUGUUUACACUUGGAUUUCAGACUUCUCCAACACAGAAUGGCCAGCGUCCGAUCCUUAAAGAUGUUUAAGAAAAAACAAAGGAGAACGUCAACUUUGACAGUGUUUCAAGAUAAAUGGGUUCUGGGUUCUAUUAUCUGGGACCCUAAGAAAAUGCAUUUAUCUUCGAAGAUGUCUUCACUGAUGGAAACUAAAGUCAAGUUCUCUUAACUUCAAAAACAAAAAUAAACCAACCACCAAACAAAAAGCAACAACCAGAAAUACAACAAAAACUUGUUCCAUGAUGAAUGAAGCCAAAAUAUCUUCAUGGUUGUUAGAUAGAAUACUAUAAACAAAUUUGACUCCCCCCCCCCC